This is a long non-coding RNA of Ictalurus punctatus (channel catfish), 2076 nucleotides long. The record is from Ensembl. NCBI's taxonomy places the organism in Eukaryota, Metazoa, Chordata, Actinopteri, Siluriformes, Ictaluridae.
GAACAGGAGGGGAGGGAGGGGGGAAAGGGGGGAGAAUCCAAUCCGGUUUUAGCUAGUUUGUGUUUCGAUGGGACGUUAACGUCUUCCUGCGCUGAAACCUGUGUGUCUUUUUAUCGAGCUAACUAAGCACUGUUGUUAGCUAUUUUUAGUCUCUUUGCCUUGCUUACUUUCCCCCUCUUCUUGUAUCUUAUUCCUGGUUUUAUUUUUUAUUUUUGUGUGUGUGUGUGUGUGUGUGUUUUAACACCUCAAAAGCAGCCAUGCCCAAAAGGAGCAAAGUAAGUACUUAUGUGUGAUACUUGGAAUUCUCUUUGAUCUGUCUUUUAAUCGGUGUAAAUGUGCAAAACGUGCCUUAUUGCAUUGCUUUUAAAACAUGCAUUCGAGAGUUAUAUCUCUGUUUUUGCUUUGCUCGCAUUAAGUUUGCAGUGUGCAUUCGUUUUUGUUGCACGUUUAAAAAGAAAAAAUAUAUAUAUACUUAUGUGUUUUGAUUUUGCCACGCGCUUCAUUUCGGUGUGCACGGACUUGGGUUUUCCUUCUUUAACGCGUUGCACGAGCGCGUGCAUUUCUGUUUCAGUUAAGUGCAUGAAGGUGGUUUUGUUUUUUCUGAAGCAGGUUAUUUUCAUGCUCACUGUUUACAAAUGGACGAAGUAGCCCUGGAUACAUGGAGCUAGACAAAGGGGUGUAACUGAGGCGAUCUCUACUUUUCACUUAUUCUUCCCUCUCCAUAACCUCAUAAGCUAAAUGCACGUUUAAAAUAAAUAAAUAAAAUUACAUGCAUUGUAGGUCGUUGUGCUUUUUCGAACGUAUACGAAUCGUUUUGUAUGUGUUUUGGGGUUUUAAAUGCAAAAAAAAAACUCGAUCCUUGUUUUGGAAAACGGUCUUGUAUGGAAAUGCUCCUCCAAGAAAAGCUCAAUGGUCUCUGGCGAACAAUGACACUGAAGCCAGUGAGCCCAAAAGGAGAUCGGCGAGAUUGGUAAACAAACCGGCACCUCCUAAGGCUGAGCCGAAGCCAAAGGCAAAGAAGGCACCUGCCAAACCCAAAAAGACUAAGGAGCCCAAGGAAGACAAGCCCAACGACGAGGAGAAGAAAGAGGAAGUCCCUGCUGAGAACGGCGAGGCAAAGGAUGACGAUGAGGCACCAGCAACAGAAGAGACGGAGAAGAAGGACGACGAAGCAGAAUAACGUCUUGUCUCGAACCAGUGCUCCCUGUACCUCUCUUCUUGUACAAUUCAGGGGAAUAUUUUUAUCUACUAUUUUCUAAAGGCAGUUUUUUUAGUAGUUUGAUUGUAGAGACACAUUUUUUAUGAAAGCUACAAUGCGUUUCGAGGGGGAUUUCAUCCCAUCCCACAUUUCUACAUCCAGAACAGUUAUUGUCUGUCAGUUCCUCUUUUCAAAGUGGGAAGGAGUUACGCCAUUGGUGCGCGCACACACAAACACAUUGCGCAUGGCGAUUACAAAGACAGUCGGACAACUUGCCCAAAUGACUAACAUUCCAUUGGCUCAAUGAGGGAUUUUUUUGUUGUUGUUGUUGUUGUUUGAAUGUGUGUAACCUGUUAUGUAUGCGUGCGUGGCGGGGAGGGGUGCGAAUCACUCAUCGUUUUCUUGUUUAUAAUGAGGCAGAUUACUUAGAACGUUUGUAAGCUGUGUACUGUAUGUUAAUUCUUGUACCGAUUCUGCUUAAUAAACCUACUUUGUAGUACUGGAGCUCUCCAUGUCAGGCCUGUGUAUCAUCACGUGUUUCGUUGUCUUUCCUGUGAUAGCACCACAAUAGAUCUAUAUAGCAGCUGUGAAACGAUCUUUGACUUUAUACGCAGCGUGUAAUGGUACCUUGUCCAGAUGUGGUCAAGACUGAAUCCUUGGCAAAGCUAAAAAUGCAUCGGCGUGUUAAAGCUUGGCCACCUUUUCAGGCCGGGUCUAAUGAUCGAGUGUAAGAUCUGGCAAAACUGUACAGCACUAGUACCAGCAGUAGCAAUAUACAUGUGCAACUACAAAUGUACAGUUUCUUUCAGCUCAUUGUUUAUAGAUGUAUCUCUGUGUAUUGUUUGAUUAAAGCGAGCCAAUAAAAAUUGUUUGUGAGA